Molecule: long non-coding RNA, 525 nt
Organism: Ahaetulla prasina
Lineage: Eukaryota; Metazoa; Chordata; Lepidosauria; Squamata; Colubridae
Exons: 4
Source: RefSeq, a predicted model, not a curated record
GUGGAAGAGCGUAGAAUUAUUGUCUACGUUAUGUGGUCUAUACGUUUUUGCUCUGUAUUUUUUAAUACCGACAGCACUUUUGUUCGUAAGAAUUUCUCCAAACUGGUACCCUCUCUCAGGAAUUUUGGAUUUGCUGUCUAAAGACCGUGUUAUGGAUAACAUGGUUGGAGAACAUUAUUCCAACAACUUCAUCAUGAUCACAAAUCUAGGUAAUUCUUCUAUGAUCCUUUCAAAGUUAGAAGAUUUAGAAGAUACUCCUAAAGAUCUUUUGGGUACGGGAUGCCAUCAAAUCAUUCUGAACUUCUGGUAACUGAUGAACUCACAGACAGGGGCAUGCAGAUUCUAGGCAACAUUGUGGAAGCAGUUUUACUUCUUCAAAUUCAAAAGGUAACCUUGGUAACAGAAAUUCUGGUCCUCCACUUACAGCCCUGGAAUUACAAUGGAAUAUUCUAGCUUGCUAUUCUAUCAGAUGAUAGACCAUGGAAGUUAAAGAUAUUCGUUUGUACAAAUGCAUCUGAGAAUCAG